This 253-nucleotide ribosomal RNA is filed under the name uncultured bacterium. RNAcentral describes it as "partial 16S ribosomal RNA". It matches the Rfam family "Bacterial small subunit ribosomal RNA", at positions 524 to 776 of the family's 1533-position model. The record is from RNAcentral.
UACGGAGGAGGCAAGCGUUAUCCGGAAUUACUGGGCGUAAAGCGUCCGCAGGUGGCAGUUCAAGUCUGCUGUCAAAGACCGGGGCUUAACUUCGGAAAGGCAGUGGAAACUGAACAGCUAGAGUAUGGUAGGGGCAGAGGGAAUUCCUGGUGUAGCGGUGAAAUGCGUAGAGAUCAGGAAGAACAUCGGUGGCGAAGGCGCUCUGCUGGACCAUAACUGACACUCAGGGACGAAAGCUAGGGGAGCGAAUGGG